UACGUAGGGUGCGAGCGUUGUCCGGAAUUACUGGGCGUAAAGAGCUCGUAGGUGGUUUGUCGCGUUGUUCGUGAAAACCGGGGGCUUAACCCUCGGCGUGCGGGCGAUACGGGCAGACUUGAGUACUGCAGGGGAGACUGGAAUUCCUGGUGUAGCGGUGGAAUGCGCAGAUAUCAAGAGGAACACCGGUGGCGAAGGCGGGUCUCUGGGCAGUAACUGACGCUGAGGAGCGAAAGCGUGGGGAGCGAACAGG
Molecule: ribosomal RNA, 253 nt
Filed under: uncultured bacterium
Lineage: Bacteria
Description: partial 16S ribosomal RNA
Rfam family: Bacterial small subunit ribosomal RNA
Source: RNAcentral